Molecule: ribosomal RNA, 497 nt
Filed under: uncultured bacterium
Lineage: Bacteria
Description: partial 16S ribosomal RNA
Rfam family: Bacterial small subunit ribosomal RNA
Source: RNAcentral
GAUGAACGCUGGCGGCGUGCCUAAUACAUGCAAGUCGAGCGAACGGACGAGAAGCUUGCUUCUCUGAUGUUAGCGGCGGACGGGUGAGUAACACGUGGAUAACCUACCUAUAAGACUGGGAUAACUUCGGGAAACCGGAGCUAAUACCGGAUAAUAUUUUGAACCGCAUGGUUCAAAAGUGAAAGACGGUCUUGCUGUCACUUAUAGAUGGAUCCGCGCUGCAUUAGCUAGUUGGUAAGGUAACGGCUUACCAAGGCAACGAUGCAUAGCCGACCUGAGAGGGUGAUCGGCCACACUGGAACUGGGACACGGUCCAGACUCCUACGGGAGGCAGCAGUAGGGAAUCUUGCGCAAUGGGCGAAAGCCUGACGGAGCAACGCCGCGUGAGUGAUGAAGGUCUUCGGAUCGUAAAACUCUGUUAUUAGGGAAGAACAUAUGUGUAAGUAACUGUGCACAUCUUGACGGUACCUAAUCAGAAAGCCACGGCUAACUACGUG